GGUUGCAUGGUAUAGUGGUUAGCGUAACUGCUUCACAUGCAGAAGAUCUUGGGUUUGAUCCCCAGUGGAGCCA
RNAcentral lists this transfer RNA (73 nucleotides) under Loxodonta africana (African savanna elephant). It matches the Rfam family "tRNA". From Rfam's summary of the family: Transfer RNA (tRNA) molecules are approximately 80 nucleotides in length. Their secondary structure includes four short double-helical elements and three loops (D, anti-codon, and T loops). Lineage: Eukaryota; Metazoa; Chordata; Mammalia; Proboscidea; Elephantidae. The record is from Rfam by way of RNAcentral.